GUCCUCCUGCUCCUGAGCAUGGUGAUUGGGCGUUUACCUUGCAUGCAUAACGUGUACCACCCUUGAGCCUUGCGACAAGUUCAGCGCAUUAUCCCUCUGACU
Cavia porcellus (domestic guinea pig) is the source of this 102-nucleotide small nucleolar RNA. It matches the Rfam family "Small nucleolar RNA U13". The record is from Rfam. NCBI's taxonomy places the organism in Eukaryota, Metazoa, Chordata, Mammalia, Rodentia, Caviidae.